GUUAUUUUGGCAGAGAAUAUGCAUUAAAUUUAGGAUUUAAUUAUAUAGUUAAUCU
Molecule: transfer RNA, 55 nt
Filed under: Sinolapotamon patellifer
Lineage: Eukaryota; Metazoa; Arthropoda; Malacostraca; Decapoda; Potamidae
Also listed under: 1 other name
Description: tRNA-Leu
Source: RNAcentral